Molecule: ribosomal RNA, 409 nt
Filed under: uncultured Nitrososphaerota archaeon
Lineage: Archaea; Thermoproteati; Nitrososphaerota
Description: bacterial SSU rRNA
Rfam family: Archaeal small subunit ribosomal RNA
Source: RNAcentral
CUGGUGUCAGCCGCCGCGGUAAUACCAGCACCUCGAGUGGUCAGGACGUUUAUUGGGCCUAAAGCAUCCGUAGCCGGCUCUGCAAGUCUUCGGUUAAAUCCACCUGCUCAACAGAUGGGCUGCUGGAGAUACUACAGAGCUAGGGAGUGGGAGAGGCAGACGGUAUUCAGUGGGUAGGGGUAAAAUCCUCUGAUCCAUUGAGGACCACCAGUGGCGAAGGCGGUCUGCCAGAACACGUUCGACGGUGAGGGAUGAAAGCUGGGGGAGCAAACCGGAUUAGAUACCCGGGUAGUCCCAGCUGUAAACGAUGCAAACUCGGUGAUGCAUUGGCUUAUGGCCAAUGCAGUGCCGCAGGGAAGUCGUUAAGUUUGCCGCCUGGGAAGUACGGACACAAGUCUGAAACUUAAAG